AUUGAACGCUGGCGGCAGGCCUAACACAUGCAAGUCGAACGAGUGGCGGACGGGUGAGUAAUGUCUGGGAAACGGCCUGAUGGAGGGGGAUAACUACUGGAAACGGUAGCUAAUACCGCAGACCAGCAGAGGUGCCCAGGUGGGAUUAGCUAGUGGGGGGGGUAACGGCUCACCAAGGCGACGAUCACUAGCUGGUCUGAGAGGAGGACCCGCCACACUGGAACUGAGACACUGUCCAGACUCCUACGGGGGGCAGCAGUGGGGAAUAUUGCACAAUGGGCGAAAGCCUGAUGCAGCCAUGCCGCGUGUAUGAAGAAGGCCUUCGGGUUGUAAAGUACUUUCAGCGGGGAGGCGUUACCCACAGACGAAGCACCGGCUAACUCCGUGCCAGCAGCCGCGGUAAUAC
Molecule: ribosomal RNA, 406 nt
Filed under: uncultured bacterium
Lineage: Bacteria
Description: partial 16S ribosomal RNA
Rfam family: Bacterial small subunit ribosomal RNA
Source: RNAcentral